Molecule: transfer RNA, 71 nt
Organism: Smittium culicis
Lineage: Eukaryota; Fungi; Kickxellomycota; Harpellomycetes; Harpellales; Legeriomycetaceae
Rfam family: tRNA
About the family: Transfer RNA (tRNA) molecules are approximately 80 nucleotides in length.
Source: Rfam
GGGGAUAUAAUAUAAAGGUAGUAUAUGGGUAUUGCAAACCUAAAGAAAGAGUUCAAUUCUCUUUAUCUCCA